Molecule: ribosomal RNA, 735 nt
Filed under: uncultured bacterium
Lineage: Bacteria
Description: bacterial SSU rRNA
Rfam family: Bacterial small subunit ribosomal RNA
Source: RNAcentral
ACUCCUACGGGUGGCUGCAGUGGGGAAUAUUGGACAAUGGGCGAAAGCCUGAUCCAGCCAUGCCGCGUGUGUGAAGAAGGCCUUUUGGUUGUAAAGCACUUUAAGUGGGGAGGAAAAGCUUGUGGUUAAUACCCAUAAGCCCUGACGUUACCCACAGAAUAAGCACCGGCUAACUCUGUGCCAGCAGCCGCGGUAAUACAGAGGGUGCAAGCGUUAAUCGGAAUUACUGGGCGUAAAGCGAGCGUAGGUGGUCAUUUAAGUCAGAUGUGAAAGCCCCGGGCUUAACCUGGGAACUGCAUCUGAUACUGGGUGACUAGAGUAGGUGAGAGGGAAGUAGAAUUCCAGGUGUAGCGGUGAAAUGCGUAGAGAUCUGGAGGAAUACCGAUGGCGAAGGCAGCUUCCUGGCAUCAUACUGACACUGAGGUUCGAAAGCGUGGGUAGCAAACAGGAUUAGAUACCCUGGUAGUCCACGCCGUAAACGAUGUCUACCAGUCGUUGGGUCUCUUGAAGACUUAGUGACGCAGUUAACGCAAUAAGUAGACCGCCUGGGGAGUACGGCCGCAAGGUUAAAACUCAAAUGAAUUGACGGGGGCCCGCACAAGCGGUGGAGCAUGUGGUUUAAUUCGAUGCAACGCGAAGAACCUUACCUGGUCUUGACAUAGUGAGAAUCCUGCAGAGAUGCGGGAGUGCCUUCGGGAAUUCACAUACAGGUGGUGCAUGGAUGUCGUCAGCUCG